Molecule: ribosomal RNA, 466 nt
Filed under: uncultured bacterium
Lineage: Bacteria
Description: partial 16S ribosomal RNA
Rfam family: Bacterial small subunit ribosomal RNA
Source: RNAcentral
GACGAACGCUGGCGGCGUGCCUAACACAUGCAAGUCGAACGAUGAAGCCCAGUUUGUUUGGCGGCUUAGUGGCGAACGGGUGAGUAACACGCGAGUAACCUGUCCUUAACUCUGGGAUAGGCCUGGGAAACUGGGUCUUAUAUCUGCCAGAUGCGUCCUCCGCACGGAGGGUGUUGGAAUGAUUUAUCGGUUUUGGAUGGUCUCGCGGCCUAUCACCUUGUAGGAGAGGUAAUGUCACACAAAGGCGACGCAGGGCGGCCGGCCUGAGAGGGUGACCGGCCACACUGGGACUGAGAAACGGCCAGGACUCCUACGGGAGGAAGCAGUGGGGGAUAUUGCACAAUGGGCGCAAGCCUGAAGCAACGACGCCGCGUGGGGGAUGACGGCCUUCGGGUUGUAAACCUCUUUAAGUAGGAAAGAAGAGAAAGUGACGGUACCUGCAGAGGAAGCGCCGGCUAACUACGUG